UACGUAGGGGCCGAGCGUUGUCCGGAUUCAUUGGGCGUAAAGAGCGUGUAGGCGGCCGCUUAAGUCCUGUGUGAAAUCCCCCGGCUCAACUGGGGAACUGCACAGGAAACUAGCGGGCUUGAGUUCGGGAGAGGGAAGCGGAAUUCCGGGUGUAGCGGUGAAAUGCGUAGAUAUCCGGAGGAACACCGGUGGCGAAGGCGGCUUCCUGGACCGACACUGACGCUGAGGCGCGAAAGCUAGGGGAGCAAACGGG
RNAcentral lists this ribosomal RNA (253 nucleotides) under uncultured bacterium. RNAcentral describes it as "partial 16S ribosomal RNA". It matches the Rfam family "Bacterial small subunit ribosomal RNA", at positions 524 to 776 of the family's 1533-position model. The record is from RNAcentral.